RNAcentral lists this ribosomal RNA (244 nucleotides) under uncultured bacterium. RNAcentral describes it as "partial 16S ribosomal RNA". It matches the Rfam family "Bacterial small subunit ribosomal RNA", at positions 531 to 774 of the family's 1533-position model. The record is from RNAcentral.
GUGGCAAGCGUUGUCCGGAUUUAUUGGGCGUAAAGGGAGCGUAGGCGGACGCUUAAGUCAGUUGUGAAAGUUUGCGGCUCAACCGUAAAAUUGCAGUUGAUACUGGGUGUCUUGAGUGCAGCAGAGGUAGGCGGAAUUCGUGGUGUAGCGGUGAAAUGCUUAGAUAUCACGAAGAACUCCGAUUGCGAAGGCAGCUUACUGGACUGUAACUGACGCUGAUGCUCGAAAGUGUGGGUAUCAAACA